This 74-nucleotide transfer RNA is filed under the name Epsilonproteobacteria bacterium SCGC AD-308-E02. RNAcentral's name for it is "tRNA_Ile_GAT". It matches the Rfam family "tRNA". Rfam says of the family: Transfer RNA (tRNA) molecules are approximately 80 nucleotides in length. Their secondary structure includes four short double-helical elements and three loops (D, anti-codon, and T loops). RNAcentral also lists the same sequence under 2 other names. Lineage: Bacteria; Pseudomonadati; Campylobacterota. The record is from RNAcentral.
GGGCCUAUAGCUCAGCUGGUUAGAGUGCACCCCUGAUAAGGGUGAGGUCCCUGGUUCAAGUCCAGGUAGGCCCA